GAAUGAUAAAGACUUAACCAAAAUUUCAGACGCAACUUUCAGUGUGUGUGCACGAUGAGUGUGCGACGCUUGCUCCAUUUCAAUGUUCCACUGCAGUAGAAUAAUUUGAGAAGUUUAAUUACAGUUGAGGCAUGUGAAUAGCAUUCGUCACACCCUCUUUUUUAGGGUAGCCAAGAGUGCGACGCAUGAUGCAAUCCACCGCUUCAAAAUAUGGCAAUUUCUCA
Molecule: long non-coding RNA, 224 nt
Filed under: Capsicum annuum
Lineage: Eukaryota; Viridiplantae; Streptophyta; Magnoliopsida; Solanales; Solanaceae
Description: long non-coding RNA (CANN_LNC014326)
Source: RNAcentral